AUAUUUUUCAAUGGAGGCAACUCUCUACCAGCCCUACCCCGUGCAGGAUGACAGUCCUCUGGGUUGUAUACUGCUUUUGUACCGGAGGACAAAGAGCGACGAGUAUCUCAUUGUCGGUACAGUAAAAGUAAGAACCUGCGCACACCCCGCCACCAGCCGCGGUAAUACGGAGGAGCCAAGCGCUAUCCGGAAUUAUUGGGUUUUAAGGGUCCGUAGGCGGCCUUAUAAGUCAGCGGUUAAAGGUUUUGGCUUAACCAAAAAAUUGCCGUUGAUACUGGAGGUCUUGAAUUGUUGUGAAGUAUGCAGAAUAUGUAGUGUAGCGGUGAAAUGCAUAGAUAUUACAUAGAACACCAAUUGCGAAGGCAGGUUACCAACAACCGAUUGACGCUGAUGGACGAAAGCGUGGGUAGCGAACA
RNAcentral lists this ribosomal RNA (416 nucleotides) under uncultured bacterium. RNAcentral describes it as "partial 16S ribosomal RNA". It matches the Rfam family "Bacterial small subunit ribosomal RNA", at positions 361 to 774 of the family's 1533-position model. The record is from RNAcentral.